Molecule: long non-coding RNA, 244 nt
Organism: Tachysurus fulvidraco (yellow catfish)
Lineage: Eukaryota; Metazoa; Chordata; Actinopteri; Siluriformes; Bagridae
Exons: 3
Source: RefSeq, a predicted model, not a curated record
AAUUGUGGGGGGGGGAAAUAAGCAAACCUGCCCUCUUGUGGUGAACAUACAAUACUACACCUACUGCUUUAAAGGAGAUCCUGACUGUAAAUAUUGGAGAUCUGUCCCCUGCUUUAAGAAACGUGGUGGUGAAAACAGGUGAUCUCCAGGACCAGUGUUGAUGCUCCGGGUGUCGAAAGUACCCCAGGUUUCUGACCUCACCUGUACUCAGUACUCUCUGUGAUCCUAGAGGAACUGGACCAUG